UUGAUGCUCGGGCUCCCUGUCCAGCUCCGGUGGCCAAAGCGUGGGCAGAGACACGGUCAUGCCCCAAGGGACAAGGUGAAGUGAUGGUGACGUUUCUCAGCCCACCCGACCAGCUGCAUCCAAACUGCGCACUGAGCUGCGUAACAGGGUGUCCGGGAGCACCGGCCUCGGGAUGCGUCUGGGAAGUCGGGGUGUUUCCUACCGAGGGAGAAGGUCACACCGAGAAGCUGUAAAAUGAGCAUUUAACUGCCUGAGGGUGGAUCUGAGCUCUCCCCGUGCACACCAGCCUUGCUGCCCGUCUUGGUUUUCCAAGCAGGAGCUGCCCAGCACCCACAGGUUAUUCCCCACCCAACUCUCCAGCCUGGCCAGGUCCCGCUGGAUGGCAGCACAGCCUUCUGAGCACGGUCCAAGAAAAUCCCCCCCCUCAAAAAAAAUUGAUCCUAACCAGGAUGUUUCCUGUCAAAGAAGCUGAGGAUGCCGUGAUCACCAUGGCUGCAGUGAUCCCCCAAGCCCAGGGAGCAUCAGAACCCCUCCAUUUCCAGCCAAAAAUGAAGCACAAGCACAGCAUGUUUGGGGAUUUUGUGGAAGGUUCCAGCGGCUCUGAGCCAGGACCAGACAGCUUUCACUCUCUCCGCUGGCAGCUGUGAACCGCAGCGGGAAUGUGGCCGCCUAAUCCCGGCUCCGAGAGGCACCCGCCAGAGGAGAUGCCGUCCAGGGAGCGCGGGCUCCUGCCAGAGAUGCUCCUGUUUG
Molecule: long non-coding RNA, 750 nt
Filed under: Columba livia (rock pigeon)
Lineage: Eukaryota; Metazoa; Chordata; Aves; Columbiformes; Columbidae
Description: partial uncharacterized LOC106145964, transcript variant X2
Source: RNAcentral